UCCAUACAUAAUAAGAGUUUUCUUAACCGUAAUAGCAACAAUUAUUUAUACUUCUUAUAUAAGAAUCAAUCUGGACAUUAGAUACCUCAGAACUAAGAAGAAUGCCAGCCGAUGAGACUGACCAGAAGUGAAGUACAGAAGAGCAGGAAAUUGCAUGUACCUAGGUACUUCGUUCACUACGUUCACUACGUACCUCUCCCGUAGGUCGAAUGAGUUUCA
Molecule: long non-coding RNA, 219 nt
Filed under: Nicotiana benthamiana
Lineage: Eukaryota; Viridiplantae; Streptophyta; Magnoliopsida; Solanales; Solanaceae
Description: long non-coding RNA (NBEN_LNC038589)
Source: RNAcentral